RNAcentral lists this transfer RNA (65 nucleotides) under Planctomycetaceae bacterium. RNAcentral describes it as "tRNA-Lys". The stretch from base 9 to 65 matches the Rfam family "tRNA". From Rfam's summary of the family: Transfer RNA (tRNA) molecules are approximately 80 nucleotides in length. Their secondary structure includes four short double-helical elements and three loops (D, anti-codon, and T loops). The record is from RNAcentral. Lineage: Bacteria; Pseudomonadati; Planctomycetota; Planctomycetia; Planctomycetales; Planctomycetaceae.
AGUCACCGGCGGUUGUGUCCCGACUUUUAAUCGGUAGGUCCAGGGUUCAAAUCCCUGCGUCCCCA